CUGCUGCCUCCCGUAGGAGUCUGGUCCGUGUCUCAGUACCAGUGUGGGGGACCUUCCUCUCAGGACCCCUACGCAUCGUCGGUUAGGUGGGCCGUUACCCCGCCUACUGCCUAAUGCGCCGCAUGCCCAUCCCUGUCCGGCCGAAGCCUUUCCUGCCUCCGGGAUGCCCCGGUGGCAUGUACGCGGGUUUAGCCCGCCUUUCGGCGGGUUGUCCCCCUGACAGGGGCAGGUUGCAUACGUGUUACUCACCCGUGCGCCGGUCGCAGGCGGAAG
Molecule: ribosomal RNA, 273 nt
Filed under: uncultured bacterium
Lineage: Bacteria
Description: partial 16S ribosomal RNA
Source: RNAcentral